GUAGUGGUGGUUCAGUGAUAGAAUUUCUGCCUUUCAUGUGGGAGACCCAGGUUCAACUCCUGGCCAAUGUA
RNAcentral lists this transfer RNA (71 nucleotides) under Loxodonta africana (African savanna elephant). It matches the Rfam family "tRNA". Rfam says of the family: Transfer RNA (tRNA) molecules are approximately 80 nucleotides in length. Their secondary structure includes four short double-helical elements and three loops (D, anti-codon, and T loops). Further hydrogen bonds mediate the characteristic L-shaped molecular structure. tRNAs have two regions of fundamental functional importance: the anti-codon, which is responsible for specific mRNA codon recognition, and the 3' end, to which the tRNAs corresponding amino acid is attached (by aminoacyl-tRNA synthetases). tRNAs cope with the degeneracy of the genetic code in two manners: having more than one tRNA (with a specific anti-codon) for a particular amino acid; and 'wobble' base-pairing, i.e. permitting non-standard base-pairing at the 3rd anti-codon position. The record is from Rfam by way of RNAcentral. Lineage: Eukaryota; Metazoa; Chordata; Mammalia; Proboscidea; Elephantidae.